This 1274-nucleotide ribosomal RNA is filed under the name Limosilactobacillus reuteri. RNAcentral describes it as "bacterial SSU rRNA". It matches the Rfam family "Bacterial small subunit ribosomal RNA", at positions 262 to 1528 of the family's 1533-position model. Lineage: Bacteria; Bacillati; Bacillota; Bacilli; Lactobacillales; Lactobacillaceae. The record is from RNAcentral.
GGCUUACCAAGGCGAUGAUGCAUAGCCGAGUUGAGAGACUGAUCGGCCACAAUGGAACUGAGACACGGUCCAUACUCCUACGGGAGGCAGCAGUAGGGAAUCUUCCACAAUGGGCGCAAGCCUGAUGGAGCAACACCGCGUGAGUGAAGAAGGGUUUCGGCUCGUAAAGCUCUGUUGUUGGAGAAGAACGUGCGUGAGAGUAACUGUUCACGCAGUGACGGUAUCCAACCAGAAAGUCACGGCUAACUACGUGCCAGCAGCCGCGGUAAUACGUAGGUGGCAAGCGUUAUCCGGAUUUAUUGGGCGUAAAGCGAGCGCAGGCGGUUGCUUAGGUCUGAUGUGAAAGCCUUCGGCUUAACCGAAGAAGUGCAUCGGAAACCGGGCGACUUGAGUGCAGAAGAGGACAGUGGAACUCCAUGUGUAGCGGUGGAAUGCGUAGAUAUAUGGAAGAACACCAGUGGCGAAGGCGGCUGUCUGGUCUGCAACUGACGCUGAGGCUCGAAAGCAUGGGUAGCGAACAGGAUUAGAUACCCUGGUAGUCCAUGCCGUAAACGAUGAGUGCUAGGUGUUGGAGGGUUUCCGCCCUUCAGUGCCGGAGCUAACGCAUUAAGCACUCCGCCUGGGGAGUACGACCGCAAGGUUGAAACUCAAAGGAAUUGACGGGGGCCCGCACAAGCGGUGGAGCAUGUGGUUUAAUUCGAAGCUACGCGAAGAACCUUACCAGGUCUUGACAUCUUGCGCUAACCUUAGAGAUAAGGCGUUCCCUUCGGGGACGCAAUGACAGGUGGUGCAUGGUCGUCGUCAGCUCGUGUCGUGAGAUGUUGGGUUAAGUCCCGCAACGAGCGCAACCCUUGUUACUAGUUGCCAGCAUUGAGUUGGGCACUCUAGUGAGACUGCCGGUGACAAACCGGAGGAAGGUGGGGACGACGUCAGAUCAUCAUGCCCCUUAUGACCUGGGCUACACACGUGCUACAAUGGACGGUACAACGAGUCGCAAACUCGCGAGAGUAAGCUAAUCUCUUAAAGCCGUUCUCAGUUCGGACUGUAGGCUGCAACUCGCCUACACGAAGUCGGAAUCGCUAGUAAUCGCGGAUCAGCAUGCCGCGGUGAAUACGUUCCCGGGCCUUGUACACACCGCCCGUCACACCAUGGGAGUUUGUAACGCCCAAAGUCGGUGGCCUAACCUUUAUGGAGGGAGCCGCCUAAGGCGGGACAGAUGACUGGGGUGAAGUCGUAACAAGGUAGCCGUAGGAGAACCUGCGGCUGGAUCACCU